RNAcentral lists this ribosomal RNA (348 nucleotides) under uncultured bacterium. RNAcentral describes it as "bacterial SSU rRNA". It matches the Rfam family "Bacterial small subunit ribosomal RNA", at positions 22 to 353 of the family's 1533-position model. The record is from RNAcentral.
GCUCAGGAUGAACGCUGGCGGCGUGCUUAACACAUGCAAGUCGAACGGGAAUUACUUUAUUGAAACUUCGGUCGAUUUAAUUUAAUUCUAGUGGCGGACGGGUGAGUAACGCGUGGGUAACCUGCCUUAUACAGGGGGAUAACAGUCAGAAAUGGCUGCUAAUACCGCAUAAGCGCACAGAGCUGCAUGGCUCAGUGUGAAAAACUCCGGUGGUAUAAGAUGGACCCGCGUUGGAUUAGCUUGUUGGUGAGGUAACGGCCCACCAAGGCGACGAUCCAUAGCCGGCCUGAGAGGGUGAACGGCCACAUUGGGACUGAGACACGGCCCAGACUCCUACGGGAGGCAGCA